RNAcentral lists this unclassified non-coding RNA (237 nucleotides) under uncultured Capnodiales. Its description in RNAcentral is "sequence contains 5.8S rRNA gene, ITS2, 28S rRNA gene". The stretch from base 1 to 52 matches the Rfam family "5.8S ribosomal RNA", at positions 103 to 154 of the family's 154-position model. Lineage: Eukaryota; Fungi; Ascomycota; Dothideomycetes; Capnodiales. The record is from RNAcentral.
AACGCACAUUGCGCCCCUUGGUAUUCCGAGGGGCAUGCCUGUUCGAGCGUCAUUACACCACUCAAGCCUGGCUUGGUAUUGGGCGACGGGACCUCCCCGCGCCUCAAUUUCGUCGGCUGGACGACCCGUAUCGCAGCGUUGUGACACAAGUUCGCUGGCGAGAAGGGCCGCCCGCGCCGUUAAAAACCUCCAUCAAAGGUUGACCUCGGAUCAGGUAGGAAUACCCGCUGAACUUAA